This 61-nucleotide transfer RNA is filed under the name Dipodomys ordii (Ord's kangaroo rat). It matches the Rfam family "tRNA", at positions 1 to 60 of the family's 71-position model. Rfam says of the family: Transfer RNA (tRNA) molecules are approximately 80 nucleotides in length. Their secondary structure includes four short double-helical elements and three loops (D, anti-codon, and T loops). Further hydrogen bonds mediate the characteristic L-shaped molecular structure. tRNAs have two regions of fundamental functional importance: the anti-codon, which is responsible for specific mRNA codon recognition, and the 3' end, to which the tRNAs corresponding amino acid is attached (by aminoacyl-tRNA synthetases). tRNAs cope with the degeneracy of the genetic code in two manners: having more than one tRNA (with a specific anti-codon) for a particular amino acid; and 'wobble' base-pairing, i.e. permitting non-standard base-pairing at the 3rd anti-codon position. The record is from Rfam by way of RNAcentral. Lineage: Eukaryota; Metazoa; Chordata; Mammalia; Rodentia; Heteromyidae.
GGCGCUGUGGCUCAAAUGGUAGAGCGCUACACUUGAGCUGUAGAGCUGAGGGACAGUGUCC